AAAAUUUUGCAGGAAGAUCAAAAGGAAGGUAUGGGCGCAUUCGUUGAGAAGAGAAAGCCGAAUUUCAAGAACAACUAAAUAAAGAAAUCUUCUAAAAAGGGACCAACGUGUUCAUAAUAAACUAGCCAACUAAGACUGAGAAAGGAAUGAGGUUUGUGUUCUGGGGUUGAAGUAUAUAAUAGUCUAAAAUCAGUUAUAUGAAUGCGAUCUGAGAAUAUAGUUAGAAUGUUUAUUUGAUGAAUAAAUAAUAUAUUUUGAUUAAAA
Long non-coding RNA from Nilaparvata lugens (brown planthopper), 264 nucleotides. RefSeq lists it as uncharacterized. The record is from RefSeq and is a predicted model, not a curated record. The transcript is spliced from 2 exons. Lineage: Eukaryota; Metazoa; Arthropoda; Insecta; Hemiptera; Delphacidae.